RNAcentral lists this ribosomal RNA (1344 nucleotides) under uncultured bacterium. RNAcentral describes it as "16S ribosomal RNA". It matches the Rfam family "Bacterial small subunit ribosomal RNA", at positions 28 to 1378 of the family's 1533-position model. The record is from RNAcentral.
GACGAACGUUGGCGGCGUGCUUAACACAUGCAAGUCGAACGGAAAGGCCCUGCUUUUGUGGGGUGCUCGAGUGGCGAACGGGUGAGUAACACGUGAGUAACCUGCCCUUGACUUUGGGAUAACUUCAGGAAACUGGGGCUAAUACCGGAUAGGAGCUCCUGCUGCAUGGUGGGGGUUGGAAAGUUUCGGCGGUUGGGGAUGGACUCGCGGCUUAUCAGCUUGUUGGUGGGGUAGUGGCUUACCAAGGCUUUGACGGGUAGCCGGCCUGAGAGGGUGACCGGCCACAUUGGGACUGAGAUACGGCCCAGACUCCUACGGGAGGCAGCAGUGGGGAAUAUUGCACAAUGGGCGGAAGCCUGAUGCAGCAACGCCGCGUGCGGGAUGACGGCCUUCGGGUUGUAAACCGCUUUCGCCUGUGACGAAGCGUGAGUGACGGUAAUGGGUAAAGAAGCACCGGCUAACUACGUGCCAGCAGCCGCGGUGAUACGUAGGGUGCGAGCGUUGUCCGGAUUUAUUGGGCGUAAAGGGCUCGUAGGUGGUUGAUCGCGUCGGAAGUGUAAUCUUGGGGCUUAACCCUGAGCGUGCUUUCGAUACGGGUUGACUUGAGGAAAGGUAGGGGAGAAUGGAAUUCCUGGUGGAGCGGUGGAAUGCGCAGAUAUCAGGAGGAACACCAGUGGCGAAGGCGGUUCUCUGGGCCUUUCCUGACGCUGAGGAGCGAAAGCGUGGGGAGCGAACAGGCUUAGAUACCCUGGUAGUCCACGCUGUAAACGGUGGGUACUAGGUGUGGGGUCCAUUCCACGGGUUCCGUGCCGUAGCUAACGCUUUAAGUACCCCGCCUGGGGAGUACGGCCGCAAGGCUAAAACUCAAAGGAAUUGACGGGGCCCCGCACAAGCGGCGGAGCAUGCGGAUUAAUUCGAUGCAACGCGUAGAACCUUACCUGGGUUUGACAUGGAUCGGGAGUGCUCAGAGAUGGGUGUGCCUCUUUUGGGGUCGGUUCACAGGUGGUGCAUGCCUGUCGUCAGCUCGUGUCGUGAGAUGUUGGGUUAAGUCCCGCAACGAGCGCAACCCUUGUUCACUGUUGCCAGCACGUUAUGGUGGGGACUCAGUGGAGACCGCCGGGGUCAACUCGGAGGAAGGUGGGGAUGACGUCAAGUCCUCAUGCCCCUUAUGUCCAGGGCUUCACGCAUGCUACAAUGGCUGGUACAGAGAGUGGCGAGCCUGUGAGGGUGAGCGAAUCUCGGAAAGCCGGUCUCAGUUCGGAUUGGGGUCUGCAACUCGACCUCAUGAAGUCGGAGUCGCUAGUAAUCGCAGAUCAGCAACGCUGCGGUGAAUACGUUCCCGGG